Molecule: ribosomal RNA, 449 nt
Filed under: uncultured prokaryote
Description: bacterial SSU rRNA
Rfam family: Bacterial small subunit ribosomal RNA
Source: RNAcentral
UGAGGAAUAUUGGGCAAUGGGCGAAAGCCUGACCCAGCCACGCCGCGUGUGUGAUGAAGGCCUUCGGGUCGUAAAGCACUGUGGAGAGGGACGAAAAAGUGCAUCAGGAAAUGGGUGCGCCUUGACGGUACCUCUUUAGCAAGCACCGGCUAACUCUGUGCCAGCAGCCGCGGUAAUACAGAGGGUGCAAACGUUGCUCGGAUUUACUGGGCGUAAAGCGCGUGUAGGCGGACAAGAAAGUCGGGCGUGAAAUCCCAGGGCUCAACCUUGGAACUGCGUUCGAAACUGCUUGUCUUGAGUAAUGGAGAGGGUGGCGGAAUUAUCGGUGUAGGGGUGAAAUCCGUAGAUAUCGAUAGGAACACCAGUGGCGAAGGCGGCCACCUGGACAUUGACUGACGCUGAGACGCGAAAGUGUGGGGAGCAAACAGGAUUAGAUACCCCCGUAGUCC